CCUACGGGUGGCAGCAGUAGGGAAUAUUGCUCAAUGGGGGAAACCCUGAAGCAGCAACGCCGCGUGGAGGAUGACUGUUUUCGGAUUGUAAACUCCUUUUGUUAGAGAAGAUAAUUACGGUAUCUAACGCAUAAGCACCGGCUAACUCCGUGCCAGCAGCCGCGGUAAUACGGAGGGUGCAAGCGUUACUCGGAAUCACUGAGCGUAAAGAGCGCGUAGGCGGGUUAGCAAGUCAGAUGUGAAAUCUUACGGCUUAACCAUAGAACUGCAUUUGAAACUGUCAUUCUAGAGUAUAGGUGAGGUAGGUGGAAUUCGUGGUGUAGGGGUAAAAUCCGUAGAGAUCAAGAGGAAUACUGAUUGCGAAGGCGACCUGCUAGAA
Molecule: ribosomal RNA, 379 nt
Filed under: uncultured bacterium
Lineage: Bacteria
Description: partial 16S ribosomal RNA
Rfam family: Bacterial small subunit ribosomal RNA
Source: RNAcentral